Hysterangium stoloniferum is the source of this 74-nucleotide non-coding RNA. Lineage: Eukaryota; Fungi; Basidiomycota; Agaricomycetes; Hysterangiales; Hysterangiaceae. The record is from the annotation of a GenBank genome assembly.
GGUUUGGUAGCUCAGUGGUUAGAGCACCAGCAUAUAUAGCCAGCAGGGCCUUGGUUCAAUCCCAGGUUGGGUGA